Molecule: Y RNA, 112 nt
Organism: Corvus moneduloides (New Caledonian crow)
Lineage: Eukaryota; Metazoa; Chordata; Aves; Passeriformes; Corvidae
Rfam family: Y RNA
About the family: Y RNAs are components of the Ro ribonucleoprotein particle (Ro RNP), in association with Ro60 and La proteins. The Y RNAs and Ro60 and La proteins are well conserved, but the function of the Ro RNP is not known. In humans the RNA component can be one of four small RNAs -- hY1, hY3, hY4 and hY5.
Source: Ensembl
GACUUGUCCAAAAGUAGUAGAUUAUCUCAAUUGAUUGUUCAUAUUCGGUUGCAGGUCAAUCUCCUUGUUCUCACUUUCCCCUCUUCCUGCUACUGUACUAGAUUAGUCUUUU